CCUACGGGCGGCAGCAGUGGGGAAUAUUGCGCAAUGGGCGAAACCCUGAUGCAGCGACGCCGCGUGAGGGAAGAAGGUUUUCGGUAUGUAAACUUCUAUCAGCAGGGAAGAAAAUGACGGUACCUGACUAAGAAGCCCCGGCUAACUACGUGCCAGCAGCCGCGGUAAUACGUAGGGGGCAAGCGUUAUCCGGAUUUACUGGGUGUAAGGGGGGCGGAGGCGGUUUAGCAAGUCAGAAGUGAAAGCCCGGGGCGCAACCCCGGGACUGCUUUUGAAACUGUUGAACUAGAGUGCAGGAGAGGCAGGCGGAAUUCCUGGUGUAGCGGUGAAAUGCGUAGAUAUCAGGAGGAACACCAGUGGCGAAGGCGGCUUACUGGACUGUAAAUGACGCUGAGGCCCGAAAGCGUGGGGAGCAAACAGGAUUAGAUACCCGUGUAGUC
RNAcentral lists this ribosomal RNA (440 nucleotides) under uncultured bacterium. RNAcentral's name for it is "partial 16S ribosomal RNA". It matches the Rfam family "Bacterial small subunit ribosomal RNA", at positions 338 to 795 of the family's 1533-position model. The record is from RNAcentral.